Non-coding RNA from Chrysemys picta bellii (western painted turtle), 257 nucleotides. The record is from RefSeq and is a predicted model, not a curated record. NCBI's taxonomy places the organism in Eukaryota, Metazoa, Chordata, Testudines, Emydidae.
GGCCCUUCCAGCCCAGCCAGGCCCUUUAGCAAACAGUUCUGGGGGGUGUCUCAGGUUCUCAUGGCCCCAUCUCCCUUGUGUGUUUUCUCCCCAGGGGAAGCAAGAAGAUGGGGCCAGUCGCCUACUUCAGCCUCUGCCUCCUCGGCUGCCUGAUCUAUAACCCCUCGCUGGCAGCCCCCUCUCUCUCUGCAGAGGCACAGGCUAUGUCGUGUCCCAGAGGCUGGUUCCCCUUCCAUGACAGCUGCUACCGAUACUUC